GAUGAACGCUGGCGGCGUGCCUAAUACAUGCAAGUCGAGCGAACAGACGAGGAGCUUGCUCCUUCGACGUUAGCGGCGGACGGGUGAGUAACACGUAGGUAACCUACCUAUAAGACUGGGAUAACUUCGGGAAACCGGAGCUAAUACCGGAUAAUAUUUCGAACCGCAUGGUUCGAUAGUGAAAGAUGGCUUUGCUAUCACUUAUAGAUGGACCUGCGCCGUAUUAGCUAGUUGGUAAGGUAACGGCUUACCAAGGCAACGAUACGUAGCCGACCUGAGAGGGUGAUCGCCCACACUGGAACUGAGCCACGGUCCAGACUCCUACGGGAGGCAGCAGUAGGGAAUCUUCCGCAAUGGGCGAAAGCCUGACGGAGCAACGCCGCGUGAGUGAUGAAGGUCUUCGGAUCGUAAAACUCUGUUAUUAGGGAAGAACAAACGUGUAAGUAACUGUGCACGUCUUGACGGUACCUAAUCAGAAAGCCACGGCUAACUACGUG
This 497-nucleotide ribosomal RNA is filed under the name uncultured bacterium. Its description in RNAcentral is "partial 16S ribosomal RNA". It matches the Rfam family "Bacterial small subunit ribosomal RNA", at positions 28 to 507 of the family's 1533-position model. The record is from RNAcentral.